CUCCGAUGUAUACAUGUAAACAAAGAUAAGAAAGAAAAUAAGAAUUAGAUUGUAGGAAAGUCAAUUUCAACAACUCAAAAUUAAAAACAUAUAAAGCAAGUGACACAGAAAGGAUUCAAACAAGUCAUCAAACUUAUAAUAUCUAGUGUAGUAUAUCAAAAUUUGGUGUUCCUAAAGUAUAGAAAUUUAAACGAGGCAAUUGGUCACUUAGUG
Molecule: long non-coding RNA, 213 nt
Filed under: Solanum tuberosum (potato)
Lineage: Eukaryota; Viridiplantae; Streptophyta; Magnoliopsida; Solanales; Solanaceae
Description: long non-coding RNA (STUB_LNC001070)
Source: RNAcentral